Molecule: ribosomal RNA, 585 nt
Filed under: Triticum aestivum (bread wheat)
Lineage: Eukaryota; Viridiplantae; Streptophyta; Magnoliopsida; Poales; Poaceae
Description: partial small subunit ribosomal RNA
Source: RNAcentral
AUGCUUCCCGUCGUUUUCGCCGCCGGGCCACCCACCGCAUGGCGCCAUGGGUCCGUGGUCGGAGCGCGAAUAAAGAAACCGAACCGCCUCAGCGCAUGGUAUUGCCUGGCCCUGUGUGCUCGUCCCGCCCGCGCCGAGCCUGUUUUCUCCUCGCCGGUCCGUGUUCGUCCCGGCGUAGCCAUAUAUACCCAGACCUCAGUUUGGUUCAGCACAGCAAGCACUCAACCUCCCACUCCCGGCGCACCAACCCACUGCCAAGCUAGCUACGCGCACGAGCUCUCCAUGGCCGCAUCGGUAGCCUGCGCCUUCUUCUUCGACGCCGAGCCGGUCGGCGAGCCCGGCGUGCACGCCCUGGACGCGUGCGCGCUCUGCACCAAGCCGCUGGCAAGGGACAGCGACAUCUUCAUGUACAGAGGGGACACGCCCUUCUGCAGCGACGAGUGCCGGCACGAGCAGAUGCAGCUGGACGCCGCCUGCGCCAGGCAGGCGGCCAGGGCGGCCGCCCGGAGGCAGAAGCAGUUCUCUUCAGCAACGGAGUCCGGGCGUGCACGCCGGGAGUCCUGGGAGGUGUCCGUCGCGAGCUAA